Molecule: ribosomal RNA, 278 nt
Filed under: uncultured bacterium
Lineage: Bacteria
Description: partial 16S ribosomal RNA
Rfam family: Bacterial small subunit ribosomal RNA
Source: RNAcentral
UACGGAGGGUGCAAGCGUUGCGUCGGAAUUGAUUGGGCGUAAAGGGUAGGUAGGUGGUCUCAUUUUGUCUGGGGUGAAAGCCUUGGGACUUAACCCGUGAGAAGUUGCCUCAGAGAGGUGAGACGAUAGAGUUCGUGGAGAGGGUCGUGGAAGUUCCCGGUAGUAGCGGUGAAAUGCGUAGAAGUAUCGGGAGGAACACCAGAGGCAAGGCGGCGACCUGGAACAGGCUACUGACACUCAACUACGGAAAGCGUGGGGAUCAAAACAGGAUUGAGAAA